GGCCUCGUGGCCCAAUGGCAAGGCGUCUGACUACGAUUGAGAAAUUCUAUUAUGAAUCUUGUGUUUAAUCAGGAGAUUCUGGGUUUGACCCCCAGCGAGGUCA
Molecule: non-coding RNA, 103 nt
Organism: Xylaria digitata
Lineage: Eukaryota; Fungi; Ascomycota; Sordariomycetes; Xylariales; Xylariaceae
Source: the annotation of a GenBank genome assembly